AGGCGGCGUAAGCUGUCGCUAUGGGAUGGCCCCGCGGUGCAUUAGCUAGUUGGUAAGGUAACGGCUUACCAAGGCGAUGAUGCAUAGCCGAGUUGAGAGACUGAUCGGCCACAUUGGGACUGAGACACGGCCCAAACUCCUACGGGAGGCAGCAGUAGGGAAUCUUCCACAAUGGACGCAAGUCUGAUGGAGCAACGCCGCGUGAGUGAAGAAGGUUUUCGGAUCGUAAAGCUCUGUUGUUGGUGAAGAAGGAUAGAGGUAGUANCUGSCCUUUA
This 275-nucleotide ribosomal RNA is filed under the name uncultured bacterium. RNAcentral describes it as "partial 16S ribosomal RNA". It matches the Rfam family "Bacterial small subunit ribosomal RNA", at positions 202 to 477 of the family's 1533-position model. The record is from RNAcentral.